GGCCAGAGGGUCGUCAAAAACAAAAAUGCAUCUCGGGUGGUGGCCUCUGCCCAAAUAGCUGUCCAAAAACUUUCUGCCUUGGGCUAUAUGCCCAUAUUAUUUAUCAGCCAGAGGCACAAGGGCACAGGCAAGUUGAUGGCAGAUGUAGUCACGCAUCUGCCACCGACGCAAAACAACACACGUUUCUUAACCAGCAUGAAGAGGGCAUAUGACUUCAUAAUCAAACUGGAUGAUGUGCCCCAGCCCCAGCCCCAGCAAGACCAGCCCCUCCACCUAGACCAACCCCCUACCCCAAGACCAGCCCCUGCCCCUAGACCAGCUAAUCCCACAAAACCAGCCCGUAGACCAGCCCCAGCAAGACCAGCCCCUGCCCCUAGACCAGCUAAUCCCACAAGACCAGCCCCAGCAAGACCAGCCCCUGCCCCUAGACCAGCUAAUCCCACAAGACCAGCCUACCCCAACAGACCAGCAAAUUAUUAAACUUGAACUAUUUACGAUCGACUCACAGGCUCAGCAGCAUGUGGAGCCUCUACCACCCAGGAAAAGACAAACCCCACUAUCCACCCCGGGCCUACCAUCCACCCCAGGCCAAGGCAAACGAGCCCCACCAUCCAUCCAACCUCAACUAAAGAAAAGACAAACCACAGGUAAAGGAGCCACACAAGCCCCACCCUCUACCCUGGCCAAAAAGAAGAAAACAAAAAGUUGCAAAUGCAGUCGACAGACAAUUUAUCCAUACGAUAAAAUAUUGGAAAGACGGAUGAA
Cyprinus carpio carpio is the source of this 765-nucleotide long non-coding RNA. Lineage: Eukaryota; Metazoa; Chordata; Actinopteri; Cypriniformes; Cyprinidae. The record is from Ensembl.